GAUGAACGCUGGCGGCGUGCCUAAUACAUGCAAGUCGAGCGAACGGACGAGAAGCUUGCUUUUCUGAUGUUAGCGGCGGACGGGUGAGUAACACGUGUAUAACCUACCUAUAAGACUGGGAUAACUUCGGGAAACCGGAGCUAAUACCGUAUAAUAUUUUGAACCGCAUGGUUCAAAAGUGAAAGACGGUCUUGCUGUCACUUAUAGAUGGAUCCGCGCUGCAUUAGCUAGUUGGUAAGGUAACGGCUUACCAAGGCAACGAUGCAUAGCCGAACUGAGAGGGUGAUCGGCAACACUGGAACUGAGACACGGUCCAGACUCCUAAGGGAGGCAGCAGUAGGGAAUCUUCCGCAAUGGGCGAAAGCCUGACGGAGCAACGCCGCGUGAGUGAUGAAGGUCUUCGGAUCGUAAAACUCUGUUAUUAGGGAAGAACAUAUGUGUAAGUAACUGUGCACAUCUUGACGGUACCUAAUCAGAAAGCCACGGCUAACUACGUG
RNAcentral lists this ribosomal RNA (497 nucleotides) under uncultured bacterium. Its description in RNAcentral is "partial 16S ribosomal RNA". It matches the Rfam family "Bacterial small subunit ribosomal RNA", at positions 28 to 507 of the family's 1533-position model. The record is from RNAcentral.